This 276-nucleotide small RNA is filed under the name Salvator merianae (Argentine black and white tegu). RNAcentral's name for it is "7SK RNA (ENSSMRG00000014313.1)". The stretch from base 1 to 182 matches the Rfam family "7SK RNA". From Rfam's summary of the family: 7SK was discovered as an abundant small nuclear RNA in the mid-70s but a possible function has only recently been suggested. Two independent studies have found that 7SK RNA binds the CDK9/cyclin T complex (known as elongation factor P-TEFb). P-TEFb activates transcription by phosphorylating the C-terminal domain of RNA polymerase II. The record is from RNAcentral. Lineage: Eukaryota; Metazoa; Chordata; Lepidosauria; Squamata; Teiidae.
GGACGUGAGGACAAUCUGACUGCAACAUCCAUCAUCUCAUGGGCCACCAGAAUAGAUUUGGCUGAGCUGGAUAAAAUAGGUGGUGUUCUCUUCCUCUCUCACCACUCCCUGUGCUUACUUCCCAAAGCUGCAUGCAGAGUAAUAUAGGAUGACCAUCCCAGUUGGUCAUUGGUCUAGGAUAGCUGCUAGAAUCUCCAAACAAUGACAGCUUCAACACACAGGAAAGUAGUGAACAUUAAGAGUAGCAUUACACAACUGUUACAUAGUGUUGUGAAC